AGUAACACGUGACUAACCUACCCUUGAGUGGGGGAUAACCUCGGGAAACCGGGGCUAAUACCGCAUAACAUCUUUGGAUCGGAAGAACUGGAGAUCAAAGGAGCAAUUCGCUUAAGGAGGGGGUCGCGGCUGAUUAGCUAGUUGGCGGGGUAAUGGCCCACCAAGGCUUUGAUCGGUAGCCGGCCUGAGAGGGCGCACGGCCACACUGGAACUGAAACACGGUCCAGACUCCUACGGGAGGCAGCAGUGGGGAAUUUUGCGCAAUGGGGGAAACCCUGACGCAGCAACGCCGCGUGGAGGAUGAAGUCCCUUGGGACGUAAACUCCUUUCGACCGGGACGAUAAUGACGGUACCGGUGGAAGAAGCCCCGGCUAACUUCGUGCCAGCAGCCGCGGUAAUACGAGGGGGGCAAGCGUUGUUCGGAAUUAUUGGGCGUAAAGGGCGCGUAGGCGGUGCGGUAAGUCACCUGUGAAACCUCUGGGCUUAACCCAGAGCCUGCAGGCGAAACUGCCGUGCUUGAGGGUGGGAGAGGUGCGUGGAAUUCCCGGUGUAGCGGUGAAAUGCGUAGAUAUCGGGGAGGAACACCUGUGGCGAAAGCGGCGCACUGGACCACUUCUGACGCUGAGGCGCGAAAGCUAGGGGAGCAAACAGGAUUAGAUACCCUGGUAGUCCUAGCCCUAAACGAUGGAUGCUUGGUGUGAUCGGUACCCAAUCCGAUUGUGCCGUAGCUACGCGUUAGCAUCCCGCCUG
RNAcentral lists this ribosomal RNA (750 nucleotides) under uncultured Acidobacteriaceae bacterium. Its description in RNAcentral is "bacterial SSU rRNA". It matches the Rfam family "Bacterial small subunit ribosomal RNA", at positions 109 to 875 of the family's 1533-position model. Lineage: Bacteria; Pseudomonadati; Acidobacteriota; Terriglobia; Terriglobales; Acidobacteriaceae. The record is from RNAcentral.